RNAcentral lists this unclassified non-coding RNA (369 nucleotides) under uncultured bacterium. Its description in RNAcentral is "contains 16S-23S intergenic spacer region". The record is from RNAcentral.
UCAAACGCUUCCGACAAUCCGUCCUCGCCGCCGCCACCUCCGGCAAGCUGACGGAGGAGUGGCGGGAGGAGGCCAAGAUAUCCCAUCCAUGGGACCGAACUACGAUCAGCACUCUACUCACCGACAUUCGGUACGGUACCGCUAAGAAGUGCCGUUACGAACCUAAGGGCACCUCUGUGCUUCGAAUCCCCAACGUGCUCGACGGUCGCGUAAACCAUGAUGACAUGAAGUACGCGGAGUUCGAGACAACGGAACUCCGCAAGCUUGCUCUUGCUGCGGGCGACAUUCUGAUGAUCCGCUCGAACGGUAGCCUGGGAUUGGUCGGUCGAACGGCACUUGUGACAGAGCGAGAGAAGGACUUCCUCUACG